AAGUAAGCUUCGUAGGUGACCUGCGGAAGGAUCAUUAUUGAAUAAUUUUGAAUUGAAUUGCUGCUGACUUUUAUAAUUAAAAGUAUUUGUGCACAUUCAUUUCAAAUAUUUAUUAAACCCUUUGUGCAUCUUUGUAGAUCUGAAAUUUAUUUAUUCAAAUAUUGAAUAAUAUUAAUAAUUGCUUUAUUUCUUUGAAUAAGAAACUAGCUUUUACUUUUUAUAUUCAGUGUCUAUAUAUAUAAAUAAUUAUACUCAGAAAAAGUAAUGCUUUUAUUAUCAAUUAUAACUUUCAACAAUGGAUCUCUUGGCUCUUGCAUCGAUGAAGAACGCAGCGAAAUGCGAUAAGUAAUGUGAAUUGCAGAAUUCAGUGAAUCAUCGAAUUUUUGAACGCAUCUUGCACUCCUUGGUAUUCUGAGGAGUAUGCCUGUUUGAGUGUUAUUAAAAUUUUCAUUGCUUUAAUUACAUUUUCAAGUAAUAAAAGUUUUGAAUAUUGGAAGCUGCUAUAUAAUAUUAUAGCUUUUUCUGAAAUGUAUUAGCAAUUAUAAUUUGAUUUAUUUUAUGAUAUAAUAUUUUUUUAUGUCAUUUAUAUUUCAUUAAUUUGCUUAAUUAUAAUUAAAUAUCAAUUAUAACCUCAAAUCAGGUAGGAUUACCCGCUGAACUUAAGCAUAUCAAAGGCGGGAGGGAA
Molecule: ribosomal RNA, 685 nt
Filed under: Entoloma mengsongense
Lineage: Eukaryota; Fungi; Basidiomycota; Agaricomycetes; Agaricales; Entolomataceae
Description: eukaryotic LSU rRNA
Rfam family: 5.8S ribosomal RNA (bases 285-438)
Source: RNAcentral